UAUAAAGCCCGGGCUUUUAGUUAGGUCUUUGUGAGGUAUUGUAUUGUUUGAGAGCUACUGAGUGGUCACUUUGGAUAUUGUUUUGUUGGAUUCUGACUACCUUCCGUGUUUUGGACUUUUUGCUUUUUUGCCUUUGCCCCUUGGACUCUGUUUGCCUGGUGGCUGUGGAGGGCAUGUGGAAAGAUGGGAACUGCAGCACUACCCUCUCUGCUCCCUCCGUCUGUCUUCUCUGAAAUGGACCAUGCCGGGUGUUUCCCGCCUUCUGCCCGAUGACCACUGGGAUAGACUCUGGUGACCCAGGAGGAUUAGCAGCGAAGACUUUGUGUGUGUGUUCAUUUGCUGAAUUUAACAUCAUGACAAAAAUAAAACAUUGUUUCAUUUUUU
Long non-coding RNA from Pygocentrus nattereri (red-bellied piranha), 384 nucleotides. RefSeq lists it as uncharacterized. The transcript is spliced from 3 exons. Lineage: Eukaryota; Metazoa; Chordata; Actinopteri; Characiformes; Serrasalmidae. The record is from RefSeq and is a predicted model, not a curated record.